CUCCAGUGUUCUAGUUCUACUAAGGUCCUGGAGAGAGCAGCACCUAGCAGCUGGUCCUUCCCAGGACUGGUGAGGGAGUGCCACGUCUGUGCUGGGACCUCGUGACACCCACGGGGUGAAGUGGAGGCCAACUGAGCAAGCUGCGCACCCGGGACGAGACGCACGACUGACCCGUCCUGGAGGCCCAACCCUACAGCGAGGCCACGACAGGUCGGCAAUCCAUGGAAGGAGUCUUCAGCCAAGGUGACUCACUGGGGCCCAGAGAGGUGAAGGAACAUGUGCCCAAGUCACAGAGCUGGCUAGUGGCAGAGGGAGGAUUCAAGCCCAGGCAGCAUCCGUGUGUUGAAGAAAAGCCACUACACUAUGGGCCUUCUUGUCGGACACUGUUGGGCUUUUGUAUCUGGGCCUGGGACUGCCUGCUAGGUGUCCCGGAGUCCCUGGGUCAGCCUCAAGAGGGCCAAGGAGGAAGCAUUCAAUCCUGGGGCUGUCUGUACCCUCACACACUAGAGCCUCAAGCUCCCUUAGAUGUCAGCAUCAUCUGUAUGCUGACAUGUCCCACAUAGGGGGCCACGUUUUUGAAUGUGUGUAGAAGCUGUUGACUAA
Molecule: long non-coding RNA, 603 nt
Organism: Zalophus californianus (California sea lion)
Lineage: Eukaryota; Metazoa; Chordata; Mammalia; Carnivora; Otariidae
Exons: 4
Source: RefSeq, a predicted model, not a curated record